RNAcentral lists this ribosomal RNA (447 nucleotides) under uncultured bacterium. Its description in RNAcentral is "bacterial SSU rRNA". It matches the Rfam family "Bacterial small subunit ribosomal RNA", at positions 355 to 825 of the family's 1533-position model. The record is from RNAcentral.
UGGGGAAUCUUGGACAAUGGGCGCAAGCCUGAUCCAGCCAUGCCGCGUGAGUGAAGAAGGCCUUAGGGUUGUAAAACUCUUUCGCCGGGGAAGAUAAUGACGGUACCCGGAGAAGAAGCUCCGGCUAACUUCGUGCCAGCAGCCGCGGUAAUACGAAGGGAGCUAGCGUUAAUCGGAAUUAUUGGGCGUAAAGGGUGCGUAGGUUGUUUGAUAAGAUAUAUGUGAAAUACCUGGGCUCAACCUGGGAAGGUCAUAUAAGACUGUCAGACUCGAGUAUGGGAGAGGGUAGAGGAAUUUCCGGUGUAGCGGUGAAAUGCGUAGAUAUCGGAAGGAACAUCGGUGGCGAAGGCGUCUACCUGGCCUAAUACUGACACUGAGGCACGAAAGCGUGGGGAGCAAACAGGAUUAGAUACCCCCGUAGUCCCUGAGCGGGCUGGCAAGGCGCAU